ACGGAGGCCACCGAAAAUCCGGAAAAGAGUAGGCG
The submitters of this non-coding RNA (35 nucleotides) gave its source as unclassified sequences. The record is from Rfam.